CCACAAUUCACACAAAAACUUAACAAAAUACAACUUAGAUAAUAAGCCUGAAAUUGUCAAAUCUGCCAACCACCAUAGCAAGUAUCUUAAUUUAAUUGUCGAUGAUUUCAAUAAGAAAAAACAACAGCCAAGUGAUUUUAGAUCGAAGCCUCCGCACCGCCCAAUUUUCCCCAUCCCUCAGCCGCCGCCACCCUCACAC
This 199-nucleotide long non-coding RNA is filed under the name Salvia miltiorrhiza (redroot sage). Its description in RNAcentral is "long non-coding RNA (SMIL_LNC011483)". The record is from RNAcentral. Lineage: Eukaryota; Viridiplantae; Streptophyta; Magnoliopsida; Lamiales; Lamiaceae.